Molecule: long non-coding RNA, 1369 nt
Organism: Limulus polyphemus (Atlantic horseshoe crab)
Lineage: Eukaryota; Metazoa; Arthropoda; Merostomata; Xiphosura; Limulidae
Exons: 3
Source: RefSeq, a predicted model, not a curated record
AAGGUCUAGUGUGGAUUUUAUUCAAGAGCAGAUUCAUGCUUGUGUGAAUGGUUAUCAGAAGGUCUAGUGUGGAUUGUAUUCAAGAGCAGAUUCAUGCUUGUGUGAAUGGUUAUCAGAAGGUCUAGUGUGGAUUUUAUUCAAGAGCAGAUUCAUGCUUGUGUGAAUGGUUAUGAGAAGGUCCAGUGUGGAUUUGAUUCAAGAGCAGAUCAUUGCUUGUGUGAAUGGUUAUGAGAAGGUCCAGUGAGGAGUUGAUUUAGAAACAAAUUCAUUAUUUUGUUUGAUUUCUAUGAGAAACUCACAGACAACUGAUUUAUGAUGAUGAAUGUGUCAUCAUUCCUUCUAUUGAGGGAAGAGGAAUUUUGAAUAAAAGAAUCUCCAUGGAAGAUGGUACCCCACUACACAUUGCGUGGACUGUCAAGACAUUGCUGGGACAUUCUUUGAGAGAUUGAGCAAUCAACACAGUCUCCAGAUAUUACCUUUGUUGAUUUAUAUGUAUAUAUAAUUUUUGGCUAUGAGAUCUUCUUAAGUCAUUGAUUUUCCAUUACAUAUUCAUUACCUUGAAGAUAUCAAAUGACACCAACUAAACGUCACAGUAUCAUUCAGCUGCAUAUCACGUUAUCUCAUGAUUGAAAGCAGUACUGGACAUGAACUGUGAUAAUUAUUCUCAUUAUUGCAGUCAUCUUUCCCAUCAUCUCGUUAGUUCAUCUACCAGAUAAUAUUGCUCUCUGUUAAUAUUUUUUUUCAUAUUUUGGUUGUUAUAAUAGGCCAACUAACUUCAUAAUAAUCCUGCGUGAAUAGAUUGAUAGAUUACGUGCCAAAUAAAAACUCUAAUAAGGUAAAAUUUCUUCUUCCAUUUAUUUUACUCUCUCUUUGUAUAUAGAACAAUAUCUAUACAUAAUUGAACUGAUUUCCAAAAAGCUUGGCAUUUUAAUUGUCGUGAACAUUUUUUUUCUAGAAUUGCUCUACAAAAGUGUAUGAUAUUAGUUCUCACACUAUAUAUGAAAGUAGCUUAACUUUCCUGUUGCAUUAAAAAUUUGUUCGUAUUUAUCACACAUUUGUAUUUUCCUUUCGGAUCAAGGAAAGUACGUGUACUUUUUUAUUAUUGUUGAGACAUAAUAUGAACACGUUUUGGAAAUAAGACCUAAAAUGUGCUCUAAUACCUUACCAGUAUGUUGUAUUAUUAACCUGAAAUAUCUCUUACUUACAUGAGGAAUUGAUAAAAUAUUCUAGCAAGUGUUUAGUUUGAAUAUGUUGUACUUUAAUACCUUACCAGUGUAUUAAUAACCUGAAAUAUCUCUUACUUACAUGAGGAAUUGAUAAAAUAUUGUAGCAAGUGUUUAGUUUGAAUAUGUUGUACUUUAAUACCUUA